RNAcentral lists this non-coding RNA (25 nucleotides) under Mus musculus (house mouse). Lineage: Eukaryota; Metazoa; Chordata; Mammalia; Rodentia; Muridae. The record is from RNAcentral.
UGGAAUCCUUUGAUUCUCAUGGCAG